This 253-nucleotide ribosomal RNA is filed under the name uncultured bacterium. RNAcentral's name for it is "partial 16S ribosomal RNA". It matches the Rfam family "Bacterial small subunit ribosomal RNA", at positions 524 to 776 of the family's 1533-position model. The record is from RNAcentral.
UACAGAGGGUGCGAGCGUUGUUCGGAAUUAUUGGGCGUAAAGGGCGCGUAGGCGGUGCGGUAAGUCACCUGUGAAAUCUCCUGGCUCAACUGGGAGCUUGCAGGCGAAACUGCCGUGCUGGAGUGUGGGAGAGGUGCGUGGAAUUCCCAGUGUAGUGGUGAAAUACGUAGAGAUUGGGAAGAACACCAGUGGCGAAGGCGGCUAUCUGGACGGUUUCUGACACUAAGACUCGAAAGCGUGGGGAGCAAACAGG